Molecule: long non-coding RNA, 1586 nt
Filed under: Homo sapiens (human)
Lineage: Eukaryota; Metazoa; Chordata; Mammalia; Primates; Hominidae
Description: uncharacterized LOC105377205, transcript variant 2 (LOC105377205)
Source: RNAcentral
GAGGAGGCCCUAGGCCUGGACCCCCUUGCACCACUUUGGGUCAGGAGAUACUGGGCCUGGACUGCCUUCCACUGCCGGGCGGGGAUGGGAGGCUCCAGGCGGCCGCGCUUUUUCCAGUCCGCGGUCCCCACCGGCCGGUUCCCCUCUUCCCCCCACUUCGAGGCCUGCAAUUGUCUGCUGUACUGGCUCCCAGUGCUGAAAGCUAUUAUGAGAAAUACCACUGCGAUGAGUCUUCACAUACAAGUGUGUGCACCAUUUGACGGUCCCACCAGCAGCAUGAGAGAGUUCCAGUGUCUCCACAUCCUCGUCAACACUCACUACCUGACUUUUUGGGUCUAGCUCUCCAGGCCAGGAAGCCGAACCAAAUCCACCUCCCUCAGGUGUGCCCGCGGGACCUGUGUGUGUGCAAGUUUCUAUCUUCCAGAAGGUUCCAGUGUCUGCCAUGGCUCUUGGCCUGCCAGGAAGUAUCCUUCUUACUACUUGUGAGGCUGAGGCUUUGUGUGCCAGAGUACAGGUGCCCGGCCAGUAUGGGUCUGAGGGUUGUGUGGGCAUUGGUUCAGCACACAAGCCACAACCCUUGUUCCUUAAAGGUGGGCGUGUUGUGGAAGCACAGGAAAGUUAUUCUCAAAUAUGACACCCAUGUAAGGCCUGGGCUCCACUAUUAAUUUGUCUGAUUAUAUCCUGGUGACAAGGAGGACAAAUUUCUACUGCAACAAUGCAAAUUACUACGUUUUUAUUAAAAGUAAAUGUCAGUAAAACUAUUUUUCCUGAAUUCUGAAGUGAGAAAAACACCAUUUAAAGAACGUUUUAAUGUUUGUGAAAGGAUAGUCUCCUAAAGUAGAUUGUUGCAGAUACCGGGUAAAAAUAAAAAUUAAAUAAAUUAAAGGUGAGAUAGAUCAAAGAAGAAGGGUUUUGUCUUAUUCCUGCCAGAAACAGAAUAUCAGAAACAACAUGAGCAUCCUCCUCCUUGCCUUUUCUUGGGCUGUGCUUUCAGCCUGCAGAUAUAACCAUUCUGGAGAGCAGUGAUGCCCCCAGAACCGCAUUUUUGGCUGGUGCAAAAUGGGGGGCAGUGGUUGUGUCUGGGGCCAAGUUUCUGUCCUGUAUAGCCUAGAGAUGGUUAUGUAGCGGGGGACUGAGCUACUAAGUGAAGGCAUAGAUAGUUAUGUAGAAACAGAGGAGGGUAGAAUCAACUCCAUGCUAGAUUGUAACUGGAGGUACAGGUAUCAGUAUGAACUCAAGGUUUGCUAAGAGGUAUCAGAAAAGAUAUGGGUGUGUGUGUGUGUGUGUGUGUGUGUGUGUGUGUGUGUGUGUGUGUGUUUGUACAUACUUAUUUCCUAGCUCUGUCUGCUGAGUGUAAAUGGAAUCAUAUUCUGUAAUCUUUUGAGAUUUCUUUCUUCCAUUUAAAAUUAUGUGUUUGAGAUUUGGCCGUGUUGGUGGUGGAAUUCAUUCAUUUCUGUUGCUGUGUGCUAUUCCAUUGCGUGGAUACACCUCACUUUGUCCAUUUUACCGUCCUUUGAUAUUUAAGAUUUCUCCCAGUAUUUGCUAUUAAAAACAGCGUUAAAAUAAAAAAAAAAAAACACCAAAAA